This 481-nucleotide ribosomal RNA is filed under the name uncultured bacterium. Its description in RNAcentral is "partial 16S ribosomal RNA". It matches the Rfam family "Bacterial small subunit ribosomal RNA", at positions 30 to 506 of the family's 1533-position model. The record is from RNAcentral.
AUUGAACGCUGGCGGCAUGCCUUACACAUGCAAGUCGAACGGUAACGGGCCUUCGGGUGCCGACGAGUGGCGAACGGGUGAGUAAUACAUCGGAACGUGCCCGAUCGUGGGGGAUAACGAGGCGAAAGCUUUGCUAAUACCGCAUACGAUCUACGGAUGAAAGCAGGGGACCGCAAGGCCUUGCGCGGACGGAGCGGCCGAUGGCAGAUUAGGUAGUUGGUGGGAUAAAAGCUUACCAAGCCGACGAUCUGUAGCUGGUCUGAGAGGAUGAGCAGCCACACUGGGACUGAGACACGGCCCAGACUCCUACGGGAGGCAGCAGUGGGGAAUUUUGGACAAUGGGCGCAAGCCUGAUCCAGCCAUGCCGCGUGCAGGAUGAAGGCCUUCGGGUUGUAAACUGCUUUUGUACGGAACGAAAAGCCUUCUUUUAAUACAGGAGGGUCAUGACGGUACCGUAAGAAUAAACACCGGCUAACUACGU